Molecule: long non-coding RNA, 339 nt
Organism: Lutra lutra (Eurasian river otter)
Lineage: Eukaryota; Metazoa; Chordata; Mammalia; Carnivora; Mustelidae
Exons: 2
Source: RefSeq, a predicted model, not a curated record
UUGCGGCUUUCCUAAUAGGCCCGCUUGUGAGUCUCGCUGCUGGGAUACCACGUCCAAGUGGAUGUUUACUGAAGAAAAACCAGGAGUUGCAGAAAAGCGGACAGGAACAACUUGUCAGAACUCUGAUCCAAUGACUCAUCAAAUUGUACCCACAUUACGCAACCAUUAUCCGGUGGGGAAGAGCGCACCCGGGAAAGAGAGAUCCAGCAGCCUGGCUCCCGACCCUGUGUGGCCAACUGUGUAAUGCUCUCCAGCAAGAAAAAGGAGCCUCUCGACAACAUGGAACGCUGUAAUGAAAGCAAGUUUAAGCCAAUAUUUGUCAAAUAUCAAAUAAUUAUU